Molecule: non-coding RNA, 80 nt
Organism: Flavobacterium johnsoniae
Lineage: Bacteria; Pseudomonadati; Bacteroidota; Flavobacteriia; Flavobacteriales; Flavobacteriaceae
Source: Rfam
CCCUAGCCCCGAUAGAAGCGGAAAUCCUUUUUGUGGCGGGGUUCGCCACAAAAAGAUUGAAGCGGAUAGCGGGAUUUAGC